RNAcentral lists this ribosomal RNA (931 nucleotides) under Carabus nemoralis. RNAcentral's name for it is "eukaryotic LSU rRNA". It matches the Rfam family "Eukaryotic large subunit ribosomal RNA", at positions 1332 to 1844 of the family's 3401-position model. Lineage: Eukaryota; Metazoa; Arthropoda; Insecta; Coleoptera; Carabidae. The record is from RNAcentral.
AGCGUCGUGCUUAUACUCUGCCGUCGGGACAGUAGUGAUAUCUUUACUACUCUACGGAGUGUAAAAUAUCGUCAGGUCUCGACGAGUAGGUGGGCCGCGGCGGUGAGCGCAGAAGGACUGGGCGUAGGCCCGUCUGGAGCCGCCGUCGGUGCAGAUCUUGGUGGUAGUAGCAAAUACUCCAGCGAGGCCCUGGAGGACUGACGUGGAGAAGGGUUUCGUGUGAACAGCCGUUGCACACGAGUCAGUCGAUCCUAAGCCCUAGGAGAAAUCCGAUGUUAAUGCAGUUGUGUCUUUAUUAUAUGGAUGACGUUAUUUUUUGUUAGUGUGAGAGUUUCAAACAGUUGACGUUCAUACUUUGAUACAGAUGUAUAUAAUAAUGCUGACUGAUUUAUCAGAUACUACUAUCACUGACCACUCACUUCGUUCACUACUGAAUGUUCAAUAAUAAGUGUAGCUCACUAUUGCUGCUGGUUCUCAGUUAGUCGUAGACUCUCGCUUUUUGGUGUUCAGCACAGCGUUGUGUUUGUGUUCUGUUGGUUUUGUAGAUGAUAGUUGAAACACUUUAUUAUUGUAGAUAAGUGUCCUCUGUCUCUAUCCGCUGAUAUAAUAACAAAUUCGUUGUUAGAGAAGUAUCACACUCAUUGGGCGAAAGGGAAUCCGGUUCCUAUUCCGGAACCCGGCAGCGGAACCGUUUACAAGUCGGGCCCUCUUUAGAGAGUUCGUCGGGGCAACCCAACAAGACCUGGAGACGCCGUCGGGAGAUCCGGGAAGAGUUUUCUUUUCUGUAUGAGCGUUCGAGUUCCCUGGAAUCCUCUAGCAGGGAGAUAGGGUUUGGAACGCGCAGAGCACCGCAGUUGCGGCGGUGUCUGGAUCGUCCCCUCGGACCUUGAAAAUCCAGGAGAGGGCCACGUGGAGGUGUCGCGCCGGUUCC